AACGAACGCUGGCGGCAGGCCUAACACAUGCAAGUCGAGCGAGGACUUCGGUCCUAGCGGCGGACGGGUGAGUAACGCGUGGGAACGUGCCCUUUGCUUCGGAAUAGCCCUGGGAAACUGGGAGUAAUACCGGAUGAGCCCUUUGGGGGAAAGAUUUAUCGGCGAAGGAUCGGCCCGCGUUGGAUUAGGUAGUUGGUGGGGUAAUGGCCUACCAAGCCGACGAUCCAUAGCUGGGUUGAGAGGAUGAUCAGCCACACUGGGACUGAGACACGGCCCAGACUCCUCCGGAACGCAGCAGUGGGGAAUCUUCCACAAUGGGGUAAACCCUGAUCUAGCCAUGCCGCUUGAGCGAUGAAGGCCUUAGGGUUGUAAAGCGCAUUCAGCUGGGAACAUAUUGACGGUACCAACAGAAGAAGCCCCGGCUAACUCCGUG
This 433-nucleotide ribosomal RNA is filed under the name uncultured bacterium. RNAcentral describes it as "partial 16S ribosomal RNA". It matches the Rfam family "Bacterial small subunit ribosomal RNA", at positions 29 to 507 of the family's 1533-position model. The record is from RNAcentral.